GCAAAGGCCCUAUUUAGGGCCACAGAGAAGUCUGUUGUCGAAUUCAU
Picea glauca (white spruce) is the source of this 47-nucleotide non-coding RNA. NCBI's taxonomy places the organism in Eukaryota, Viridiplantae, Streptophyta, Pinopsida, Pinales, Pinaceae. The record is from Rfam.